This 985-nucleotide long non-coding RNA is filed under the name Mus spretus (western wild mouse). Its description in RNAcentral is "forkhead-associated phosphopeptide binding domain 1, opposite strand 1 (ENSMSPG00010035831.1)". Lineage: Eukaryota; Metazoa; Chordata; Mammalia; Rodentia; Muridae. The record is from RNAcentral.
AGGAAAACACGGGAACCAAGACGUCUCUGUUUCUCCAAAGCUGGAACAGCAUUUUACCCAGCCUCAUCCACAGCGAGCCACCCUGGGCCUCCACACUCAGCAGCAUAGAAUUGAUUAUCUUUUUGUGCCACAGAGAUCUACUGGGCACCUACUGUGUGCUGGGCUCUGCACUGGAUGUAAACAAACCUUCAGCUGGUGUGUAUUUUCCCCACUGCUAUGCCAUCACUUGGGGCUGACCAGGUGUAUGAGAGAGAUGCCAGACUCCAUUCUAUUUUUUACCCCGUGCAUACUUGGGCACGCCAGCUAACGUCUCUGAGCUGAAGUUCCCUCAUCAGUGAAGUGGAAGUGAUGAAAUCUGCUCUGAAGACUUCAGAGAUGAAAUGAGCUGAUGUUAGGGGCUCAGCCUGGAUCAUAGUAUGUGCUCAACAAACCAUCUGUGAGACUGUUAUUAUCUAGGACACAAUUGUCUAUUAAGUAAGUGGUUCCUUGGACACAGGACACAGAGAAGAGGUCCUGCUCCCAGAUGUUUCUCUGACUUAAACAGUUCAGAGCCAUGUGUGUGUUGAGAGGCAACGGCAUCUCUGUGGAAGACCUGGCCAGGAGAGCAGACAGUUCACCUCACUUCUCCAUUGCUCCGUGGCCUGCCAAUCACCGAUGCGCCUUUCUCUGCUGCACCAAGAUCUGGUGACCGUGAGGGGAACAUGAAGCCUCUCUCUGCCUUGCUUCCACAUAAAUAAUUCAGCGAUACUAACAGUCUCUAUCGCACAGCGCUAUUAUGAGAUUAGAUAUAUAAGAUAUAGAGUUGUGCUGGCUCUGAAAUGUACUGUAUAGCCCAGGCUGCCUCUGAAAGGCGCUGUGUAGCCCAAGGCUGGCCCUGAACAUAUGGCAGUCCUCCUGCCUCAGCCUCCUGAGUGCUGGGAUCAUAGACACAAGUGAUUAUGUCCAUAUAAUGCUUGAAAAAUAUAUGGUCUUAUUAUUUUUAACU